GUUGGUGUCACUAAGCAUAACCCUACGUAACUCGGGAGGGUGAAAGGCCACAAGAGUAUGGAGCCUUCCUGGUUUUAGGCCUCAGCAGACAAGAGUCCCUCCAUGUUUGAACUUUAAUCGACCUAAAAGGCCAGGUGUAACAGCUGUUAUUAGUUGCAACAGUUCUAACUGGUCUAAAGCAGAAAUAAUGAGGCCUGUGCACCUUAGCAGAAGGACAAGAUAACUUGCAGAAGGAAAACUUACUAACGAGCUGCCGCGGCCAAGAUUACUUAAUGCACCUGCGCUUACGUAAUUGCUACAGGGGGAGGAAGGAGGAGGAGGGAGGGGAAACGGGGAUUGCUAGUCAGUGAGAAAAGUUCUCAUGGAUAUAAAGGAACAGACUGCUUGUUUUAGGUGUGUUUGAUCUGAGUCAAUCUCCCUGCACCACUUUGAGAUCUCAAAUAAACUUGGUUUGCUUCUCCACCCUGGUGUGUUUAUUGGCGCGGCACGCCAGGCGACGGACCCCCCCGCUGUUGCUUGGCCUCAGGCAGUUAUCUGCCGGCAACAGUUCUUGGCGCCCAACGUGGGGCAUUGAGGCUAAAAUUAGCCUUGCCUGGAUCCCUUCUGGUGGUCGACAGAUUGCGGCGACGACCGACGCCCAGCGCGCACCGGUGACUUCACCGGGGGCCUCGGCGGAGACGCGGUAUGAGCGACCCCAGAGGGCACAACGGUGCAACGCGCUCGAGUAGUGGAGAAGCAGUUGAGGGCGACGGUGAGGAACCGGUCCCUUGGAUAAGCUUAACUGUCCAGUAAGAUCCAACAGUGUGCCUUUGUGACCCCGGAGCCGGUGUGGCUUGGUGACACUGAAGAAGCUGCAGGCAGCUGACCUGGACUGGAAUCUCUGAAAGAGAUGCUGCAGAAGAUUCCAGGGUGCAAGAGAACAGCCCUCCAAAGAGCGGAAGCAUGUUAGAAAUUCUGGACAAGCUGUAUACAGGAUAAUCUCCAGUCCACCUCUGCCCCCUUCUCUGAACAUUAUACACAGAAGUGGCCAGUCUGGACGUACGUGUGUGGGUUAAAAGAAGCCAAGAAGGGAAGAAGGACAAAGAACAGAAUGAAUUAACUGAAAAAAAUAAAAUAAAAUAGCAAGCUCAGGCUAUAGAUAAGACACUGACUCCAUUCAAGAACACUGCUCACAGUUAAGGCUUGGCUAACAACCAGGAAAAGGAGGGCUUGAAUUUGCCCACGCAGCUAUGAGAUUUGCAAAACAUUGCCAGGCACUAAUGAAAUGUGUUAAGUUUCUUUUCUCACAGGUAAAGAAGCGCUACCCAAAGACCCUAGCAGCCCUGCCACUCUUUGGAACCAGGAGACGGGAUUGAUGUAAAGGUCCACCGACGAAAGUCUGCUCUGGCUCCACCCUGGAAAGGCCCUUAAGUCCCGGUGACUACCAACAUCGCUGUAAAAUGUCAAAGACUGACUGCAUGGACCCAAGAUUCUCACUGCAAAAAGACCCCUCCACAUCGGGAGAAUUCUCCUACUGACGAUUAGCCUAUUUCACCUUCUAGCUCCACUGUGCCUUCUGGACAGUAGGGAAAAAGUACAAGGAUGCUGCACCACGACUGUUUUGGGAAAGAAGAAGGAACACUCGCUCCACUGAAAUUGCCAAAGUCCAGGAAUUCCUGACUAGAAAGGACAUUAAGAACUGACCCUGGUGAAGAAACAAAGAAUUAUACAUUGGUGGGAGGACAUUUGUGGGACCCAUGUUUGGGAAUGUGGUAUUAAUUGGAUUUUGGGGUUUAUUCUACAGGCUGCGCCCUGUGUUUUGGAUAAAUCCUUCAGCAUAUAUAUCUCUCUCUAAUUGGAUUUUAAAUAACAAGUACCCAAAGAGUUUGUUCUGCUACUAGAAAUUUUACCCGUAUUGAAACCAUUCCAGUGACUAAUAAUGUAUGCUAUUAAUGGAAAUGCCUUUUGACAGUACCUGAGAAUAGUUAAAUAACAGGUGUAUUAUAGUACUACACCAAGAAAAGAUGGUAUUAAAUAUAACUGAGACUGGGAAGGCAUUGCAGUGGGAUCUAGUAUGUUUAGGAAUUCGGGAUUUCCUAAAUGACCAGCUGAUGGCCAUUCGGAGUGAUCUUGAGUACCAGACUUGGCCCACUGCCCUUACAGACGCAUCAGGAAUACCAUCUGAUCUGUGAUCAUGGAGACAUACUUGGACACUUCCUGGGUAGAAGUGUGGCUUCCCAGGGCUGGGUGUGCGCCCUUAUAGGGGAUGAAUGCUGUACUUAUGUCCCAGAAAGCGCACAGGAUAUUAACAAGCACAGCCUGUCAGCCAAACAGGCUUUUGAACAGUGGAAGGCCCAGGAAAGGAAACCCACUAUUUCUGAUUCCCUCUGGGGCUGGUUACUCAACCUGGGAGAAAUAGGGGAAGGCAUUGUUCACCUCCUGCUCACUGGUGUGGUGUUGUGUAUUGUUACUCUUCUCUUGCUUGCUUGCUGUAAAGCACUUCAGCUCCCUAGAGCUAAAUCACAUGUUAUCCUUUAAAUGUGAGAACACUCAGCCAAAAGUUUGUUGAGUAUUCUCAAAGGAGGGAGUUGUUGGUGUCACUAAGCAUAACCCUACGUAACUCGGGAGGGUGAAAGGCCACAAGAGUAUGGAGCCUUCCUGGUUUUAGGCCUCAGCAGACAAGAGUCCCUCCAUGUUUGAACUUUAAUCGACCUAAAAGGCCAGGUGUAACAGCUGUUAUUAGUUGCAACAGUUCUAACUGGUCUAAAGCAGAAAUAAUGAGGCCUGUGCACCUUUAGCAGAAGGACAAGAUAACUUGCAGAAGGAAAACUUACUAACGAGCUGCCGCGGCCAAGAUUACUUAAUGCACCUGCGCUUACGUAAUUGCUACAGGGGGAGGAAGGAGGAGGAGGGAGGGGAAACGGGGAUUGCUAGUCAGUGAGAAAAGUUCUCAUGGAUAUAAAGGAACAGACUGCUUGUUUUAGGUGUGUUUGAUCUGAGUCAAUCUCCCUGCACCGCUUUGAGAUCUCAAAUAAACUUGGUUUGCUUCUCCA
Long non-coding RNA from Gopherus flavomarginatus (Mexican gopher tortoise), 3032 nucleotides. RefSeq lists it as uncharacterized. The record is from RefSeq and is a predicted model, not a curated record. The transcript has 3 exons. NCBI's taxonomy places the organism in Eukaryota, Metazoa, Chordata, Testudines, Testudinidae.